AUGGAGAGUUUGAUCCUGGCUCAGGACGAACGCUGGCGGCGGGCUUAACACAUGCAAGUCGAAGGAGAAGGGAGAAGCUUGCUUUUCCCGGAGACUGGCGGACGGGUGAGUAACGCGUAGAUAACCUGCCUUUGCCUGGGGGAUAACACUGCGAAAGUGGUGCUAAUACCGCAUAAUGCAGCGGGGCCGCAUGGCCAUAGUUGUUAAAGGAGUAAUCCGGGUAAAGAUGGGUCUGCGUACUAUUAGCUAGUUGGUAGGGUAACGGCCUACCAAGGCGAUGAUAGUUAGGGGGUCUGAGAGGAUGAUCCCCCACACUGGGACUGAGACACGGACCAGACUCCUACGGGAGGCAGCAGUGGGGAAUUUUCCGCAAUGGGCGAAAGCCUGACGGAGCAACGCCGCGUGAGGGAUGAAGGCCUCUGGGCUGUAAACCUCUUUUAUCAAGGAAGAAGAUCUGACGGUACUUGAUGAAUAAGCCACGGCUAAUUCCGUGCCAGCAGCCGCGGUAAUACGGAGGGUGCAAGCGUUGUCCGGAAUCAUUGGGUGUAAAGGGUGCGUAGGCGGACUGCUAAGUCUGGGGUGAAAUCUUGCCGCUUAACGGUAAAAUGGCCUUGGAUACUGGCAGUCUUGAGUGUAGAAGAGGCAGGUGGAAUUCGUAGUGUAGCGGUGAAAUGCAUAGAUAUUACGAAGAACAUCAGUGGCGAAGGCGGCCUGCUGGUCUACAACUGACGCUGAGGCACGAAAGCGUGGGGAGCGAACAGGAUUAGAUACCCUGGUAGUCCACGCCGUAAAC
Molecule: ribosomal RNA, 793 nt
Filed under: Goniomonas pacifica
Lineage: Eukaryota; Cryptophyceae; Goniomonadida; Goniomonadaceae
Description: partial Bacterial small subunit ribosomal RNA
Rfam family: Bacterial small subunit ribosomal RNA
Source: RNAcentral